RNAcentral lists this non-coding RNA (21 nucleotides) under Caenorhabditis elegans. The record is from RNAcentral. Lineage: Eukaryota; Metazoa; Nematoda; Chromadorea; Rhabditida; Rhabditidae.
UAAAUAAGAUAAAAUAAAUUG